GGGGAAUCUUGCGCAAUGGGCGAAAGCCUGACGCAGCGACGCCGCGUGCGGGAAGAAGGCCUUAGGGUUGUAAACCGCUUUCAGGAGGGACGAAGCCACUCGGGUGAACAGCCCAGAGGGUGACGGUACCUCCAGAAGAAGCCCCGGCUAACUACGUGCCAGCAGCCGCGGUAAUACGUAGGGGGCAAGCGUUGUCCGGAUUCAUUGGGCGUAAAGAGCGUGUAGGCGGCCAGGUAGGUCGGUUGUGAAAACUGGAGGCUCAACCUUCAGACGUCGACCGAAACCCCCUGGCUAGAGUCCGGGAGAGGAGAGUGGAAUUCCUGGUGUAGCGGUGGAAUGCGCAGAUAUCAGGAAGAACACCCGUGGCGAAAGCGGCUCUCUGGAACGGUACUGACGCUGAGACGCGAAAGCGUGGGGAGCGAAC
Molecule: ribosomal RNA, 424 nt
Filed under: uncultured bacterium
Lineage: Bacteria
Description: bacterial SSU rRNA
Rfam family: Bacterial small subunit ribosomal RNA
Source: RNAcentral